Molecule: non-coding RNA, 45 nt
Organism: Trichobilharzia regenti
Lineage: Eukaryota; Metazoa; Platyhelminthes; Trematoda; Strigeidida; Schistosomatidae
Source: Rfam
AUCCAGAUGACGAGUCCCAAAUAAGACGUAAUGCGCAUCCUGGAU